This 877-nucleotide ribosomal RNA is filed under the name Metarhizium minus. RNAcentral describes it as "eukaryotic LSU rRNA". It matches the Rfam family "Eukaryotic large subunit ribosomal RNA", at positions 40 to 942 of the family's 3401-position model. The record is from RNAcentral. Lineage: Eukaryota; Fungi; Ascomycota; Sordariomycetes; Hypocreales; Clavicipitaceae.
AUAUCAAUAAGCGGAGGAAAAGAAACCAACAGGGAUUGCCCCAGUAACGGCGAGUGAAGCGGCAACAGCUCAAAUUUGAAAUCUGGCCCCCCCCAGGGCCCGAGUUGUAAUUUGCAGAGGAUGCUUUUGGCGAGGUGCCUUCCGAGUUCCCUGGAACGGGACGCCAUAGAGGGUGAGAGCCCCGUCUGGUUGGACGCCGAGCCUCUGUAAAGCUCCUUCGACGAGUCGAGUAGUUUGGGAAUGCUGCUCUAAAUGGGAGGUAUAUGUCUUCUAAAGCUAAAUAUUGGCCAGAGACCGAUAGCGCACAAGUAGAGUGAUCGAAAGAUGAAAAGCACUUUGAAAAGAGAGUUAAAUAGUACGUGAAAUUGUUGAAAGGGAAGCGCUCAUGACCAGACGUGGGCCCGGUGAAUCAUCCAGCGUUCUCGCUGGUGCACUUUGCCGGCGCCCAGGCCAGCAUCGGUUUGCCCCGGGGGAUAAAGGCCCUGGGAAUGUGGCUCCCUAGGGAGUGUUAUAGCCCACUGCACAAUACCCUGUGGCGGACCGAGGUUCGCGCAUCUUGCAAGGAUGCUGGCGUAAUGGUCAUCAGCGACCCGUCUUGAAACACGGACCAAGGAGUCGUCUUCGUAUGCGAGUGUUCGGGUGUCAAACCCCUACGCGUAAUGAAAGUGAACGCAGGUGAGAGCUUCGGCGCAUCAUCGACCGAUCCUGAUGUUCUCGGAUGGAUUUGAGUAAGAGCAUACGGGGCCGGACCCGAAAGAAGGUGAACUAUGCCUGUAUAGGGUGAAGCCAGAGGAAACUCUGGUGGAGGCUCGCAGCGGUUCUGACGUGCAAAUCGAUCGUCAAAUAUGGGCAUGGGGGCGAAAGACUAAUCGAACCU